UACGUAGGUGGCAAGCGUUGUCCGGAUUUACUGGGCGUAAAGAGCGCGCAGGCGGUCGUUCAAGUCGCGUGUGAAAGCCCCCGGCUCAACUGGGGAGGGUCACGCGAUACUGAUCGACUCGAAGGCAGGAGAGGGAAGUGGAAUUCCCGGUGUAGUGGUGAGAUGCGUAGAUAUCGGGAGGAACACCAGUGGCGAAGGCGACUUCCUGGCCUGUUCUUGACGCUGAGGCGCGAAAGCUAGGGGAGCAAACGGG
RNAcentral lists this ribosomal RNA (253 nucleotides) under uncultured bacterium. RNAcentral's name for it is "partial 16S ribosomal RNA". It matches the Rfam family "Bacterial small subunit ribosomal RNA", at positions 524 to 776 of the family's 1533-position model. The record is from RNAcentral.